RNAcentral lists this long non-coding RNA (827 nucleotides) under Drosophila guanche. Lineage: Eukaryota; Metazoa; Arthropoda; Insecta; Diptera; Drosophilidae. The record is from RNAcentral.
CAGUUCAAGUGUUUGUUCGCAAGUCAGCUCCACGUUGUUUUGCAGUUUCUGGUCGGAAAAUGGUGAAAAUCUGUCUGGAAAAGUAUGGCGCAAGUGUGUGUAGUGCAGAGCAGUGUAGUGAUGUGCAGUGUUGAGUAUUUUAGUGCGGUGUAGUGAUUUCAAAUAAACACAUACAACAUAACCCCAAAUUAGCAGUGCUGACUUAGUGCGAAUCGAGUGAAAAAUGGCAUAAAAUUGGCUGAUCGUGCAAGGAAAUGUUGUGAUAAGUGUGAAGUGGCAGUGCAUUAAGUGAAAAUAUAUAUUAUAUAUAUAUAUUUGAUAUGGAUACCAUGCGCUUAUGUUUUUUUUUCAUGUGAAAUAAUCCACCAGCCAAAAUGCCAGCGGUUCCGUUAGUUAUGUAUCUCCAGUUUUCGUUUGGCGUUUCUACCAGUGUGUGUGUGUAUGCUCUUGUGUGAAAGGAAUGAGAAAUGAGAGGAGCAAAGUAAAAAAGUGGCGUGAUCUAGUGCGGGUGCUUAUAAUGUGAAAAAUUGCAUAAAAGAGGCUGAUCUUGCAAGCAAAAUGUGUUAAAAUGUGCAGUGGCACUGCAUUAAGUGAAAAUACAUUUCAGAUACAGAUUUAAAAAAACUACUUCUUUUUCUUUUAAAAAAAUCUACCAGCCAAAAUGCCAACGGUUCCGUUAUGUGUGUAGUGUUUUCGUUUGGCUGCUCCAUCAAUGUGCCAGUAUGUGUGCGCGUGUGUGCAGAAAUGCCAACGGCAGAGGAGCAAAAAGGAAUGAGCGAGCGCUGUUUGUCUUUACUGCUCUCUUUCCAAGUGGCACAAAGUGUAAG